CCUACGGGAGGCAGCAGUGAGGAAUAUUGGUCAAUGGGCGCUAGCCUGAACCAGCCAAGUAGCGUGAAGGAAGACGGUCCUAUGGAUUGUAAACCUCUUUUGUCUGGGAGUAAAAUGCACCACGCAUAGCGUUCCGCAAGUACCCUAUGAAAAAGCAUCGGCUAACUCCGUGCCAGCAGCCGCGGUAAUACGGAGGAUCCGAGCGUUAUCCGGAUUUAUUGGGUUUAAAGGGUGCGCAGGCGGAAGUUAAAGUCAGCGGUAAAAUUGAGAGGUUCAACCUCUUCGAGCCGUUGAUACUGGUUUUCUUGAGUGAGUGAGAGGUAGGCGGAAUGCGUGGUGUAGCGGUGAAAUGCAUAGAUAUCACGAAGAACUCCGAUUGCGAAGGCAGCCCACUGGACUGCAACUGACACUGAGGCUCGAAAGUGUGGGUAUCAAACAGGAUUAGAUACCCGAGUAGUC
This 459-nucleotide ribosomal RNA is filed under the name uncultured bacterium. RNAcentral's name for it is "partial 16S ribosomal RNA". It matches the Rfam family "Bacterial small subunit ribosomal RNA", at positions 338 to 795 of the family's 1533-position model. The record is from RNAcentral.